GGCGGACGGGUGAGUAUCGCGUGGGAACGUGCCUUCUGGUCUGGAAUAACCCUGGGAAACUAGGGCUAAUACCGGAUACGCCCUUAUGGGGAAAGGUUUACUGCCGGAAGAUCGGCCCGCGUCUGAUUAGCUCGUUGGUGGGGUAACGGCCUACCAAGGCGACGAUCAGUAGCUGGUCUGAGAGGAUGAUCAGCCACACUGGGACUGAUACACGGCCCAGACUCCUACGGGAGGCAGCAGUGGGGAAUAUUGGACAAUGGGCGCAAGCCUGAUCCAGCCAUGCCGCGCUGAGUGAUGAAGGCCUUAGGGUUGUAAAGCUCUUUUAUCCGGGACGAUAAUGACGGUACCGGAGGAAUAAGCCCCGGCUAACUUCGUGCCAGCAGCCGCGGUAAU
This 393-nucleotide ribosomal RNA is filed under the name uncultured bacterium. Its description in RNAcentral is "bacterial SSU rRNA". It matches the Rfam family "Bacterial small subunit ribosomal RNA", at positions 97 to 524 of the family's 1533-position model. The record is from RNAcentral.